Non-coding RNA from Myotis brandtii (Brandt's bat), 75 nucleotides. The record is from Rfam. NCBI's taxonomy places the organism in Eukaryota, Metazoa, Chordata, Mammalia, Chiroptera, Vespertilionidae.
GGCGGUUCUCGGGGGACGCACCCCAGGAUUGGGCUCCCUCCUUUCUGGUUCUGGAUGCAUCAUCCAAGAACCACA